GGGAGCUGGAGCUGGCUGGCCUAGGAUGGCGUUGGCUUGUGUCACUGGCCUCUGCCUGGGCGGAAUUGAGAGAGACAGACAGAGAGGGAGUGGGAAGAAGCACACAGGCCUUUUGAGGCUGAGGCUGAGGCUCAGAAGGGCCACCCAGUGACAAUCACCUCCUCAAGGAAGCCUCCUUGGCUGCCCUGGAGCCGGGUGAGUCCUUGCUGCUCCUUAGAGGCCAACAUACCGCUUUCCUUCACAGAACUCGCCAGAAUUCCAUUCCAAUACUGACUUGCUUGAUUACGUGUCUAGUGCCUGUCUCCCCUACCAGAAUGCAAGCUCAGUGAGGGAGGGCUCGUGGGCAUUGUUUGCAUAUGUGUUCUGCCUUAUACUAACAGCUGAGGAAGUGUGUGUGCUAUAACAACCUGAUUUAAUAAAGAAAGGACACUGCUUAGCACAGGUAGACAAUAAACCUUGCUCUUUUUCUCAGUCUGUGGCCCACUACUUUAAUCUUUGCUCUCCUAAAUCAGUUCUCCUUGGAGAAAGUGACGUGUUUCACGAGGAUCUACUUUUUAGAAGAGGUUAUGCAAAGCGACUCUAUUAGGCUGUGCAUAAUUCCAGACACCCCACUGGACUAAAGCCAUUCAGAUGCAGAUCACGCGCCAGGAUCAUAUCUGGAAUCUACAUACCUGGGCUUAAAUUCAGCCUGUGCCAGUCACUGUUUGUGUGAAUGUUGGAGAAGGACCAAUCUCAUUACACCUCAGUUUCCCCUCUAAAGGAGAAUAAAAAUGGCUGCCUCUCAGGAUUUGGUUAUUAUUCUCUUUUCCAUGUGUUUACAAAGCCUGCCACAUGACAGACACUCCAUCAAUGUUAGUCCCCCUCUCCCCUGUUCAUGUUUUCUUUCUUUUGUCUUGGCUGUCUGGAAGAAAACCCAGCACACAGUAAGUUCUCCAUUUAAGAGUAGAAAAUUAAACUGACAACACUUUGCUGUUAGCCAAAGCAGAAGAACCAAAGGGCACGUUUGGAGAGAAUGAAGGUCAGUUCAGCUUCUGCGGCAGACGAGACGUUAGGUGGAGUGGUGCUGGGGCAGUGGGAAACACAGGACUGCGACGUGGGCCCAAGUGAAAAGGUUUGAGAGGAAUCUACCCAGUGCCAACAGCCCUGUAAGGGUCUGGAGCCAAAAAGAACAGUGCUAGAAUUUUCUCACUGUGGUUUUCUCUUAGCAAAAAAGGGGAGAAAAACUGUUAUGGGAAGCGCAUAUGUGGACUCUCUGUCCAACUCAGGCCAGUAUCUCUGAGGACAUCCUGAAGCCUCUGAGGCAGCCUUUGCAGCUUCCGAAGUGAGCUCACAAUUCUCCAAGUGGUGGACGAACCCCCAGUUUACAGAGUUGGGGCUGCAGGCAAACUACAUCUGCAUGGAGACUUCCUUGACGGCUUUUGGUUCAGGAUUGGGGUGCAGAUGCCCAUCGAUGUAGACCAAGGGACAGAGUGCAGAGGGCCGACGGGGCGCAGCCUUGGGCCUCUGGCUCAUCCCAGCUGGAGUGGAGAUCAGGGUCAUGGAUGCCAGUUCCCUGGAAGCUCAAAUAUCCUGGAUUCCCAGUGCUGCAGGCUGUGGCACCCAAAGAAAGAACACACUUCUUAUGCCUUUAUUCUGUGAGUUGUUCUGAAGAAUUCUGCUGGGUUCCAUCUUUGGUUUUCAGCUCUCUAUCGUUUGACUCCCAUGUCUGGGGCCCGAAGCUACACCACAGCCUGGCAAUGGACACUCAGGGGCUGCAGAACUGUGUUUGUUUUACAACAGACUCAUCUAUCCAUCAGUGAAAAUUCUCAUGUUCCUCUCAGCCUCGGAAGCCACGUGUGUGAUCCUAAUCCCACAGACUAAGCACGGGGCCAGGUGGCUUCUCCCAGAAGAGUGCUCUCACUGGACCACACCAUGUCUGUCUCCCAGCUGUGGGAACUCUAGGGUGCUUGAGGAAUUUCAGUAGGGAGUUGGAUCUACCCCAUAUUGGAGCCCUCAUCGACACACACCAUUGGUAAUGGCCAUAGCCCUCAGCUUCACAGCUUGUAUGGGUAGAUCCUCUUAUCAGCAUUAUCUUAUUUAAAUACUUGCAGAUCCAACAUCACUUAUAGCCCCCAAAUCUUAAACCUCAAGAAAAGCAAAAAUAGUUUCUGCUAAGGAACACGCUGCGGCCCCUUGGUGAUAGAAGUCCUGUAGCACGCUGUGUUAGGCCGUUCUCCCACUGCUAUAAAGAACUACCCGAGAGACUGGGUAAUUAUAAAGAAAAGAGGUUUAGUCAGCUUACGGUUCUGCAGGCUUUACAGGAAACGUGGCUGGGAGGCCUCAGGGAACUCUUAAUCAUGGUGGAAGGCAAAGGGGAACCAGGCACGUCUUACGUGACCAGAGCAAGAGGAAGAGAGAGAGAGCGGGGAGGUGCCACACACUUUCAAACAACCAGAUCUCCCAGCACUCAUGAUCACGAGAACAGCAAGGGGGAAAUCCGCCCCAUGAUCCAAUCACCUCCCACCAGGCUUCACCUCCAACACUGCAGAUUACAAUUCGACAUGAGAUUUGGGUGGGGACACAGAUCCAAAACACGCACAUGCCAACCUCUCAGCUUGAUGGACUGUGAUGGGCUUAUUUUCUUAAGUGAGCUAUCAAUUAACUAUGUGAAAGUCAGGUUUCUUUAAAAAUUCACUUAUUUAGGUUUGUUUGUUUUAAUAAUCUUUUUAUUUCUGAAUAGUUUUAGAUUUACUGAAAAGUUGUGAAGAUCAGUCCGAGUGCCCAUCUCUCUCCAUUACCAACACCUAACCUACAUCUAGCUCAUUUAUCACAAUUAAUAAGUUACUAUUUCUACAUUAUUACCUAAAGCCUGUAAUGUAUUCAGGUGGACAUAGCUGUCACUGACACCUUUUUUGACCCAGGAUCCCACAGGACAUUGAGCCAUCGUGUCUCCUUGGGCUCCGCCUGGCUGGGACAGUUUCUGGGACUUCCCUAGUUUUUGUUAACAGCUGUGAGGAGUGCUGGCUGGGUGUGUUUUGUAGGAUGCCCCCUCCAGUGGGGUUUUGCUGAGGUUUAUCUUGAUGGUUAGACUUGGGUUCUGUGUUUGGGGAGGAAGAUGCAGAGGUAAGUGUCCUCCCAUCAC
This 3121-nucleotide long non-coding RNA is filed under the name Homo sapiens (human). Its description in RNAcentral is "HSALNT0026088". The record is from RNAcentral. Lineage: Eukaryota; Metazoa; Chordata; Mammalia; Primates; Hominidae.